GAAAUGCGAUAAGUAAUGUGAAUUGCAGAAUUCAGUGAAUCAUCGAAUCUUUGAACGCACCUGCGCUCCUUGGUAUUCCUUGGAGCAUGCCUGUUUGAGUAUCAUGAAAUCUUCAAAGUAAAUCUUUUGUUAACUCAAUUGGUUUCUACUUUGGUAUUGGAGGUCUUUGCAGCUUCACACCUGCUCCUCUUUGUUCAUUAGCUGGAUCUCAGUGUUAUGCUUGGUUCCACUCGGCGUGAUAAGUUAUCUAUCGCUGAGGACACUGUAAAAGGUGGCCAAGGUAAAUGCAGAUGAACCGCUUCUAAUAGUCCAUUGACUUGGACAAUACUUUUAUGAUCUGAUCUCAAAUCAGGUAGGACUACCCGCUGAACUUAAGC
Molecule: unclassified non-coding RNA, 377 nt
Filed under: plant metagenome
Description: partial contains 5.8S ribosomal RNA, internal transcribed spacer 2, and large subunit ribosomal RNA
Rfam family: 5.8S ribosomal RNA (bases 1-104)
Source: RNAcentral